GUCCACGCCCUAAACGAUGGAUGCUCGAUGUCGGCCCGCAAGGGUCGGUGUCUAAGCUAACGCAUUAAGCAUCCCACCUGGGAAGUACGAUCGCAAGGUUGAAACUCAAAGGAAUUGACGGGGGGCCCGCACAAGCAGUGGAGCAUGUGGUUUAAUUCGAUGCAACGCGAAGAACCUUACCUGGGUUUGAAAGGCAAGUGACAGGCGAUGAAAGUCGCUCUCUCCUCAAGGGGCACUUGUACAGGUGCUGCAUGGCUGUCGU
This 262-nucleotide ribosomal RNA is filed under the name uncultured bacterium. RNAcentral describes it as "partial 16S ribosomal RNA". It matches the Rfam family "Bacterial small subunit ribosomal RNA", at positions 793 to 1055 of the family's 1533-position model. The record is from RNAcentral.